GUUUUCAUAGUUUAAAUUAAAACAUUACACUGAAAAUGUAAAAAUAAAAUUGAAAAUA
This 58-nucleotide transfer RNA is filed under the name Hyalomma marginatum. RNAcentral's name for it is "tRNA-Phe". The record is from RNAcentral. Lineage: Eukaryota; Metazoa; Arthropoda; Arachnida; Ixodida; Ixodidae.